AACGCGAAGAACCUUACCUAAGCUUGACAUCCCACUGACCUCUCCCUAAUCGGAGAUUUCCCUUCGGGGACAGUGGUGACAGGUGGUGCAUGGUUGUCGUCAGCUCGUGUCGUGAGAUGUUGGGUUAAGUCCCGCAACGAGCGCAACCCUUGCCUUUAGUUGCCAGCAUUAAGUUGGGCACUCUAGAGGGACUGCCAGGGAUAACCUGGAGGAAGGUGGGGAUGACGUCAAAUCAUCAUGCCCCUUAUGCUUAGGGCUACACACGUGCUACAAUGGGUGGUACAGAGGGCAGCCAAGCCGUGAGGUGGAGCAAAUCCCUUAAAGCCAUUCUCAGUUCGGAUUGUAGGCUGAAACUCGCCUACAUGAAGCUGGAGUUACUAGUAAUCGCAGAUCAGAAUGCUGCGGUGAAUGCGUUCCCGGGUCUUGUACACACCG
This 435-nucleotide ribosomal RNA is filed under the name uncultured bacterium. Its description in RNAcentral is "bacterial SSU rRNA". It matches the Rfam family "Bacterial small subunit ribosomal RNA", at positions 958 to 1392 of the family's 1533-position model. The record is from RNAcentral.